CCUCAUGAAAAUACCACCCUGCCUGUAAUGAUGAUUUUAGAACCAGGUGAUGGAAGUCGCACACUAAAAUAUCUGGAGGGCACCAGGUUGGGGAAGAGUGGCUUAUAACAAUGCAAAAGACGACUAAGGGAGAGGAUGCCAAGGAAAGAGGAUCACUUCAGGGAAAGAAGAACUAGAAAGAACGAAGGUAUCAAGGGUACUAUGUGAACAAAUGCAAUAACUCAUGCAUAAGUUAUUUACUAAUAUCCUUUUUUUAUACUUUGAGUUAGCUUUGAGGACAGAGAUAACAUGCAUCACCCAAAAGAAGAAGGGUUCUGUUAACUACUACGUCAAUCUGUCUAAUUGGUAGCAUAAUUAACCAUAUUCUGUAACAGCUCCAUAUUGUAGGCAUAAUUUAAUGGAAUUUAAAAGUCAUGUUUAUUUUGCAAACCCAGAUAUAACAAACUGCACGACUCAGAUCUACUUUGCUUAUUAAAUGAAUUUAAUUAAAAUCAAACUUUCAUCAACAGCUCAGAGGAAAAUAUUUAAUCUUCGGCACUCUUGCAGUGAAACAAGGAUCUCCAGAAGAACUCAAAUAGCAGCAGUAUUUGAAAAGGAGAUUAUAUAUGUAGUAAAUAUGUUCAAACCGUGUAAGUGUCUUCUAUUUGGAGUUGUGUCAAAGAGGGAGAAAAAAACCAGGUGCUGAUUAUACAAAUAAGAUAGUAUAUCAUAUUGGCAGAUUCCCCAAAGGUUUGCCCUUGGAACACUCCAAAUGAGGAAAUGAUAGAUGUAUUAUCUUUCAGGAUGUCUGGAAUUGGAUAUCUGAAGGGUCUCAGACAGGGACAAUCUUGCUCCGGCUAAAGCAGGGCACUCCAAGGACAUUAACCAAUAAUGAGCACUCACACUUUACAUUGUGGGUGCCCUUUGCGGGAUCGCGUUUCGUGCUACAGUUCCCAGGGAUCUUACUAGCAAACAGGGACUGGCUUGCCUCUCAGGGUUAAUUUUUGGAGGGUCACACCCAGCCUCAGUAAUCAAGUUUCUUGCUGGGAGGUGGGGCCAGCCCCAUUUAUAAAUAGGGGGUGGAGCCGACAAUAGCCAGGGAGUCGGAAUCGGAAAUUCACCCUCUCUACCUUCCCUCUGGUUAAUGUUUUCUUGUUUGCAGGUUAACUUUUUAUUCCUGUUUAGCGGGCGCUGCUACAGUCUUUUACUGGUUGCGAUUGAAGGACCAGGAAGAAAUUUUUCUGCAUUGGCAGGUUUUGUCUUCCCCGUAGCAACUCGUUACAACUUUGGUGGUUAUGGCCUUGGACGUAACCCUUUAGUCUUUUCUUCCCUAUAUGGGGAGGGGGGGCGUGAAGUGGUGACUCACCCCCCUGCGGUGGCGAUUCCAGGGUCCCCUCUUAAAAGGGGUUAUAUAUAAUGGGUGUCACUGGCUGUGACGAUUAACAUAUGAGAGAGUGCUGGAGGUGAAAUUGUUAAACAGGUUGCCCAGUUAGGACCCAGGGGGGUGGAGUCAGAGGGACUAUAAAAUCAGCUCUGGGGGAGUUCGUUGAGGAGUUUGUUGGGAGUUGGGCGGUUGGUUGGAGUGGGAAUGAAUUGGGCUAGAGUUGUGGGUAGGUUGAGAUAAUGUAACGAAAUAGGCUGAGUCAGGAACAGUUAGGGACUAGGCAGACAAGUAAAUAUCUGAGAGGUGGUUUAGUGAGUGACAGCAGGUAGCGGGAGUUAUAGGUCUGGAUAGGCACCCCAUGAAUGUAAUUGACUGAUACUGUUUAUGAAACCACACGCUUGUUAAACUGCAAUAAAUAAACAAAAGUUUAUGUUUCAAUUUAACCCUGACUGGACUCAGUAUUGUCCCAGGUAGGGCCUGGGUGGUGGCAGCGAGAAAUAAAGUGGUGGCACAGGGAUCAAUAGAUGGUGAAACGUCCAGGGACCCUGUGUGAUAGCCUCACUAGCCAUACACUAAAAGGUUGUCAGUGAGGGGGCUAGGGCUUUCUCCGCCUGGUCAUGCAAUGCCUCCUUAUGCUACUUGAGGGAUAUUUACAGUGCAGCCAAAUCAACAGUGCAUGUUUGCUAGAUAGGCACAUAAUAGGAGCUGAAGCUCACAGAGUUUUCCUGAACAAAGCUGCCGACAGGAGUGCCAUCUCGCCCCAGGAUUGUGGGCGCCCCCUGCUGCAAUGUGGAUGUACGGCACACCCUUUUUCGUGGGGAGGGGCGUGGGCUUGGAGGCAGAGAUACUCCGCUUCUGUCUUAUCCCCCCCCCCAAAAAAAGGGUGCGUUGCUGGCUGGCUGUGGAGGACAGAGCUGAACUGCCUCUCUCACUGUGGCUGCAACAGUUCAGCUCUGUUCCCCACAGACAGAGAGACACUCUUUUCUGUGGGGAGGGGCUCAGACUCAGAGGCAGAGAGACUCUGUCUCUGUGUCCGAGUCCCCCCUGCCCAGAAAGGGUGCCUCGCCACCUUCAACAUAUGUGGUGGAAGUGUAAGGAAGUAAAAGAAUUUUGGGAAAUGAUAUAUAAUGAGGUGAAAAAAAUGUUUAAAAUAACCUUUUCUAACCCUGCCCCCCAGCCUUCCUUUUAGGAAUUCUAGGUGCCCAAGAGUAGAAAAGACUAUUUAUGUAAGCGACCACGGCUGUGCGGAUGUUAUUGGCCAGGGAUGGAAAGAAGAUAAGUCCCUACCAGAGAGGAACGGCAGAUCAAGUUGAUGGAUUAUGCUGAAAUGGCUAAAAUGGCCAGAAGAAUCAGAAAUCAGGAAGACCAAAAUUUUAACAAGGAACAGAGGAAAUUUAUAAUUUAUCUUAAAAACUAUUGUAAGCAGUUGAAAUCAUUAGUAGGAUUGGAAUUACACUUGUAGUUUAAUGGUGAAUUGUGGACACAAUGGAGAGGUAAAAGAUUUGGAUGCAGGAGGAAAUGAUUAACAAUAGGACCCACAAAGGGGAGGAGGGAAGAGGGAAUCUUGUUUCUAUGUUGUAUGUUGGAUAUGUGACUGUAAAAUUUUAAUCUGAAAAACCGAAUAAAUCAUUUUUUAAAAAAGUGUGCCUCGCUGGCUG
This 3021-nucleotide long non-coding RNA is filed under the name Podarcis lilfordi (Lilford's wall lizard). The record is from RNAcentral. Lineage: Eukaryota; Metazoa; Chordata; Lepidosauria; Squamata; Lacertidae.